RNAcentral lists this long non-coding RNA (203 nucleotides) under Actinidia chinensis (golden kiwifruit). RNAcentral describes it as "long non-coding RNA (ACHI_LNC003551)". Lineage: Eukaryota; Viridiplantae; Streptophyta; Magnoliopsida; Ericales; Actinidiaceae. The record is from RNAcentral.
AAGUGAUAAUCAUGGCAAUGAUGGAAGGACUCUGACCUGGUCCGCUGUUCGACUCCCUUUCCAAAAACGUUCCUGAAACUUUAUCCGCACUCCAGAGCAAAGCCGACAAGUAUAUCGCCGCAGAGGAGUUGGCCGAGGCCAAACGAAGGCGACGAGGAAAGGAUGAUCAUAAGAGGAAAGAGCCUGAUACGAGGCGGGCUGAU